GCCUUCCUAGCUCAGUGGUCACAGAGCAGCUGCCUGGUAUGCAGCAGGUCGCCGGUUCGAUUCCGGCGGGAGGCUCCA
This 78-nucleotide transfer RNA is filed under the name Gemmatimonadaceae bacterium. Its description in RNAcentral is "tRNA-Thr". It matches the Rfam family "tRNA". From Rfam's summary of the family: Transfer RNA (tRNA) molecules are approximately 80 nucleotides in length. Their secondary structure includes four short double-helical elements and three loops (D, anti-codon, and T loops). The record is from RNAcentral. Lineage: Bacteria; Pseudomonadati; Gemmatimonadota; Gemmatimonadia; Gemmatimonadales; Gemmatimonadaceae.